RNAcentral lists this ribosomal RNA (492 nucleotides) under Brevibacillus fluminis. RNAcentral describes it as "bacterial SSU rRNA". It matches the Rfam family "Bacterial small subunit ribosomal RNA", at positions 399 to 883 of the family's 1533-position model. The record is from RNAcentral. Lineage: Bacteria; Bacillati; Bacillota; Bacilli; Caryophanales; Paenibacillaceae.
GCGUGACGAUGAAGGCUCUCGGGUCGUAAAGUUCUGUUGUUAGGGACGAACAAGUGCCGUUCGAAUAGGGCGGCACCUUGACGGUACCUAACGAGAAAGCCACGGCUAACUACGUGCCAGCAGCCGCGGUAAUACGUAGGUGGCAAGCGUUGUCCGGAAUUAUUGGGCGUAAAGCGCGCGCAGGCGGUUAUGUAAGUCUGAUGUUAAAGCCCGGGGCUCAACCUCGGUCCGCAUUGGAAACUGUGUAACUUGAGUGCAGAAGAGGAAAGUGGUAUUCCACGUGUAGCGGUGAAAUGCGUAGAGAUGUGGAGGAACACCAGUGGCGAAGGCGACUUUCUGGUCUGUAACUGACGCUGAGGCGCGAAAGCGUGGGGAGCAAACAGGAUUAGAUACCCUGGUAGUCCACGCCGUAAACGAUGAGUGCUAGGUGUUGGGGGUUUCAAUACCCUCAGUGCCGCAGCUAACGCAAUAAGCACUCCGCCUGGGGAGUAC